CAAACUCUUUUUAUUAAUGUCGUCUGAGUACUAUAUAAUAGUUAAAACUUUCAACAACGGAUCUCUUGGUUCUGGCAUCGAUGAAGAACGCAGCGAAAUGCGAUAAGUAAUGUGAAUUGCAGAAUUCAGUGAAUCAUCGAAUCUUUGAACGCACAUU
RNAcentral lists this ribosomal RNA (157 nucleotides) under Monilinia laxa. RNAcentral describes it as "5.8S ribosomal RNA". The stretch from base 46 to 157 matches the Rfam family "5.8S ribosomal RNA", at positions 1 to 112 of the family's 154-position model. Rfam says of the family: 5.8S ribosomal RNA (5.8S rRNA) is a component of the large subunit of the eukaryotic ribosome. It is transcribed by RNA polymerase I as part of the 45S precursor that also contains 18S and 28S rRNA. The record is from RNAcentral. Lineage: Eukaryota; Fungi; Ascomycota; Leotiomycetes; Helotiales; Sclerotiniaceae.